GGCACCUCGGUGCCCCUGCUCCUAGAGUGGAGAAACUGCCAGGGAGCAAGUGAGCGCGCCCUGGCCUGACAUAACGAGCCCAGCUGAGGCUUGCUCAGGUAAUGAGCGCAGCUGCGGGUUGCCGGAGCAACCAAGGGGAACCAGCUGCCUGUAGGAGGCAGGGCCUGGCCCUUAUAAAGCCCAGGGCUGAGGCCAGGCUGGCAGUUCUCUGCCAGCAGCCUGGGAGGCAGGAGCUCUGAGAGAGAGGAUGGGCACUAUGGUUUAGCCAGGGGGCUUUAGGUUGAUACUGCUGUAAAGAUGACAACAUGACAAUAUUGACAUGAGGCACCUAUCAAACAGGAUCUGCAUUAUGUGUACACGUUUUUUGUAAAAUUGUGUUCUGUGUUAGAAGAAAAGAGAAUCUUUGACAAAAUGGAAGAAGCCACCAGAUUUUCUCAUUGUGGUAUGGAAACUAGCAGAAACUUCAAUAGAUGCAGAUCCCUAAAUUCUCCCAGAAGAACUACUGAAGAGAAAUCAAGGUGUUGAGGCAGAAAGGAGGAAGAAAUUCUCCAUAUAACAGGCCCAGAGAUUUUGAUUAGCUACAGUACCUUCCCAGUGGAUAAGAUUUCAAAUUGUUAAAUAAUCUUUUAAGUGUUUCAAGAACGGUUAAAGUGAUGUCGUUGUUUAAUUAACACAAAAAUGAUUUUAGUGAAAUCAUAUUUUAUUUACCAAAUAACAGCAUGGUAAAACCUAGUCUUUUGUAUUUGAUUAGUUAACAAAUGGACACAAGAAUGAACCUGCUCAACGCUUUCUGAAUAAAAUAUUUCCAUCAAAUUAACUUUAAGUUUAUUUUUUGUAAAAAAUGGAUGCCUUUUUCACAAUUUUGUUGUUUCCCCCUAAAUUUUUCAUUAGUUUUUUUUAAUCAAGUGGUGUAUAGAAAAUUUUAUAAAAAUGGUUAGUAAAAAUUUUCAUUUACUGAAAACAGUAGAAAAUUUGAAAAAUUGAAAGAAGGGUGUUACG
Molecule: long non-coding RNA, 999 nt
Organism: Alligator mississippiensis (American alligator)
Lineage: Eukaryota; Metazoa; Chordata; Crocodylia; Alligatoridae
Exons: 3
Source: RefSeq, a predicted model, not a curated record